GCUAGGCAUGCAUCUCAGUGGUAGAGCAUGUGCCUAGCACAUGCAAGGCCCUGGGUUCAAUUCUCAGUAUAGUA
Molecule: transfer RNA, 74 nt
Filed under: Marmota monax (woodchuck)
Lineage: Eukaryota; Metazoa; Chordata; Mammalia; Rodentia; Sciuridae
Description: tRNA.Ala
Source: RNAcentral